GACGAACGCUGGCGGCGUGCUUAACACAUGCAAGUCGAACGAAGAGCGAUGGAAGCUUGCUUCUAUCAAUCUUAGUGGCGAACGGGUGAGUAACGCGUAAUCAACCUGCCCUUCAGAGGGGGACAACAGUUGGAAACGACUGCUAAUACCGCAUACGAUCUAAUCUCGGCAUCGAGGAUAGAUGAAAGGUGGCCUCUACAUGUAAGCUAUCACUGAAGGAGGGGAUUGCGUCUGAUUAGCUAGUUGGAGGGGUAGCGGCCCACCAAGGCGAUGAUCAGUAGCCGGUCUGAGAGGAUGAACGGCCACAUUGGGACUGAGACACGGCCCAGACUCCUACGGGAGGCAGCAGUGGGGAAUCUUCCGCAAUAGACGAAAGUCUGACGGAGCAACGCCGCGUGAGUGAUGACGGCCUUCGGGUUGUAAAGCUCUGUUAAUCGGGACGAAAGGCCUUCUUGCGAAUAGUGAGAAGGAUUGACGGUACCGGAAUAGAAAACCACGGCUAACUACGUG
This 510-nucleotide ribosomal RNA is filed under the name uncultured bacterium. RNAcentral describes it as "partial 16S ribosomal RNA". It matches the Rfam family "Bacterial small subunit ribosomal RNA", at positions 28 to 507 of the family's 1533-position model. The record is from RNAcentral.